Molecule: ribosomal RNA, 278 nt
Filed under: uncultured bacterium
Lineage: Bacteria
Description: partial 16S ribosomal RNA
Rfam family: Bacterial small subunit ribosomal RNA
Source: RNAcentral
UGCCAGCAGCCGCGGUAAUACGUAGGGUGCAAGCGUUGUCCGGAUUUAUUGGGUUUAAAGGGUGCGCAGGCGGCUUGUUAAGUCAGUGGUUAAAGACUGCGGCUCAACCGUAGCACGCCAUUGAUACUGGCAAGCUUGAGUACGUCAGAGGAGGUUGGAAUGUGUGGUGUAGCGGUGAAAUGCAUAGAUAUCACACAGAACACCGAUUGCGAAGGCAGAUCUCUAACACUAUAUUGACGCUGAGGGACGAAAGCGUGGGGAGCGAACAGGAUUAGAUA